Molecule: long non-coding RNA, 561 nt
Organism: Macrobrachium nipponense
Lineage: Eukaryota; Metazoa; Arthropoda; Malacostraca; Decapoda; Palaemonidae
Exons: 3
Source: RefSeq, a predicted model, not a curated record
UCAAGACACGGAACACACUGACAUGGCAAGGACUCAACCAGUUACUGCUCAUGCCUUAGAGACCUUGAUCCGUUUGGCCACAGCUCAUGCCAAGGCCAGACUUUCUCGACUGGUUACUGUGGAGGAUGCUGAAUCAGCCAUUGAGAUGGUUUCAUAUGCUUGCUUCAAAAAGGGAGUAUAGAUAAACACAGCGAAAGUAAACAACAGUUACUUAUUGUUUGUUCCCUUCUUGACCUAGCAGAACAGCAGAGAGGAUUAGCGUACCCUGUUGGCCGAUUAUGGAGAGUGAUUAUAGGCUUAUAAGAUCACCGAUUUUUGCAAACAACUUCUGUUAUGUCUAAAAGUGAAUAUACUCGCUGUAGGUGAAACACUUUCUGCUGUCCGUUGCCGAAUUUAUGAAAACAAUAAGUGACGACAGCUCGAUCCGCAUAACCCUACAUUUAGGCUGAAUAUACAGGAAUUUCACACCAUUUCUACUUGAAUAAGUUUAGCUUUGUUUUGUAUUAAAUGAUUAUAUGGAAUUUACUUGUAAAUUGUUUGGCAAUGCCCAAAAUAUAACUG